Molecule: long non-coding RNA, 857 nt
Filed under: Olea europaea (common olive)
Lineage: Eukaryota; Viridiplantae; Streptophyta; Magnoliopsida; Lamiales; Oleaceae
Description: long non-coding RNA (OEUR_LNC006182)
Source: RNAcentral
AUAAUCCCGCCUAAGAACCGAUGAAGUUCGACUCAGGCAAGUUUCUUUCCAAUGAUUUAUAUACGAAUGUUAAUGCAACGAUUAUCAAUCAAAUCAACACCAAAAGUAUAACCUCGAGCAUCCAUUCAUAGGGAUUAUAGCAAUUGUAAUAUCAAAAAACCACCAAACAAUACGCAAUUAUGUAACUUUUUAAAAAAAUAUAUAUGACCAAACAUGGAUAGAUUUUCAUGGCAUAAAAUACACAAUCCACAAAAAUAAUAAUAACAACAACAACAACAAUAACAACACGAAUAGAUUUCCAUUGCAUAGAACUCAGAUUAAAUCUUAAUAAUGAAAAAAAGUGUAAAAAUGCAGAAAAAUCAGAAUCUUGACAAUUUCUAUACAGUUUUAUAGUUUCUUCCAAGAAUAUCAACUACGGAACAUAACUCAAAUUCCAAAUAAAUAAACGACUAUACACCAAAAAUCUCCAGGGGCAUAAACUUAUUUUGCUAAUUUUAAGCAAAAAUCUGAAGAAAAAAAGUGAAAAAAGUAUUGCCUGGCUCCAUUCUGUCUGCCUCUCCCUCAACUUAAUUUCAGCUGGGAAGGUAUUGUUUCACCAAUAAGAGCUCUCUUAAAAGUACUUUUCCACCUUAAGAUUUCUGGAAAAUGACAUUUCACCACAUACAAGAAUGAUGGAAUCCAUUCUUGAACAAGGGCUUACUGGUCAUUUCAUGUAGUAAAAAGGAGAAGAAGUAGAAAAGUUAACAUAUUGCACCAACCCUAUCUCCUUCUAUAAACAUUAUUUGGUCCCUCUGCAUAAAAAUCAUGGCCGUGUCAAUAAAUAAUGUAUGUAUUAGGGUGGGGAGGGGUGUGGUGGG